AUGAACUUCUUUUUGUUUUCAGUAAUUCAUGGACGAAUGGAUCAAGGAAACCCUAUGAAUGUACCAGCUACACGAAAAGACCUUAUGAUAGUUAAUAUGGGUCCCCACCACCCAUCAAUGCAUGGUGUUCUUCGCCUCAUCGUUACUCUAGACGGGGAAGAUGUUAUUGACUGUGAACCAAUAUUAGGUUAUUUACACAGAGGAAUGGAAAAAAUUGCGGAAAAUCGAACAAUUAUACAAUAUUUGCCCUAUGUAACACGUUGGGAUUAUUUGGCUACUAUGUUCACAGAAGCAAUAACAGUAAAUGGUCCAGAACUGUUAGGAAAUAUUCAAGUGCCUAAAAGAGCUGGCUAUAUCAGAAUAAUUAUGUUGGAAUUGAGUCGUAUAGCUUCUCAUUUGUUAUGGCUUGGUCCCUUUAUGGCAGAUAUUAUGCACAGACUCCUUUCUACUAUAUUUUUAGAGAAAGACAGUUAGUAUAUAAUUUAUAAGAAGCUUCAACAUGUAUGAUAAUGAUGCAUAUUUUUUUUCUUAUCGUUUGAGUAUCUUAUGAUCUACCUCAUGGUUUGUUAGAUAAUUGUUUGGAUAUUUGCGAUUAUUUUUUUACAGGUUUUACUGAAUAUCAUAUACUUAUUACGCGAAAUCCUAUUUUUUUAGAACGAGUUGAGGGAGUAGGUAUUGUUGGUACAGAGGAAGCAAAAAAUUGGGGUUUAUCGGGACCAAUGCUACGAGCUUCCGGAGUACAAUGGGAUCUUCGUAAAGUUGAUCAUUAUGAGUGUUACGACGAAUUUGAUUGGGAAAUCCAGUGGCAAAAAGAAGGAGAUUCCUUAGCUCGUUAUUUAGUCCGAAUUGGUGAAAUGAUGGAAUCUAUAAAAAUUAUUCAACAGGCUCUGGAAGGAAUUCCGGGGGUCCCUAUGAGAAUUUAGAAACUGACGUUUUGAUAGAGAAAGGGAUUCGGAAUGGAACGAUUUCGAAUAUCGAUUCAUUAGUAAAAAAACUUCUCCUACUUUUGAAUUACCGAAACAAGAACUUUAUGUGAGAGUCGAAGCCCCAAAAGGAGAAUUGGGAAUUUUUCUGAUAGGAGAUCAGAGCGGUUUUCCUUGGAGAUGGAAAAUUCGUCCGCCGGGUUUUAUCAAUUUGCAAAUUCUUCCUGAAUUAGUUAAAAGAAUGAAAUUGGCAGAUAUUAUGACAAUACUAGGUAGUAUAGAUAUCAUUAUGGGAGAAGUUGAUCGUUGAAAUGAUAAUUGAUACAACAGAAAUACAAGCUAUCAAUUCUUUUUAUAGAUUAGAAUCCUUAAACGAGGUCUAUGGAAUUAUAUGGGUGUUUGUCCCGAUUUUUAUUCUUGUAUUGGGAAUCACGAUAGGCAUACUAGUAAUUGUAUGGUUAGAAAGAGAAAUAUCUGCAGGGAUACAACAACGUAUUUGACCUGAAUAUGCCGGUCCUUUAGGAGUUCUUCAAGCUCUAGCGGAUGGGACAAAACUACUUUUCAAAGAGAAUCUUUUUCCAUCUAGGGGGGAUAUUCGUUUAUUCAGUAUCGGACCAUCCAUAGCAGUCAUAUCAACUCUAUUAAGCUAUUCGGUAAUUCCUUUUGGCUAUCACCUUGUUUUAACUGAUCUAAAUAUUGGUGUUUUUUUAUGGAUUGCCAUUUCAAGUAUUGCUCCCAUCGGACUUCUUAUGUCAGGAUAUGGAUCAAAUAAUAAAUAUUCCUUUUUGGGUGGUUUACGAGCUGCUGCUCAAUCGAUUAGUUAUGAAAUACCAUUAACUCUUUGUGUGUUAUCCAUAUCUCUACGUGUGAUUUGUUGAAAUAUAAACUUUUCCCUAUUCCUUUCUUUUUAUCUUUUUAGGAAGAAGGCGAAAUUAAUUGAAUAGAUAUCUUCAUUUUUUAUUCAUCGUUUGGGUUGAUGAACUAAAUUGGAUAGUUAUAUGAGUGAAAGAAAACAACUUCUACAUUUGCAGUAAAAAAAUUGAGACUCAUUUCCUAUGUACAAGAGUAAAACAGAAAUAAACAUAAGAAAAGAAGAAUGUUUGCCCCAAGAUUGGUUGAUUAGUCAUCCUGGCUUGAAGCGGGCCCAAAAUAUCAACCUUAUUGAGUUUUCACUAUCAUUUAUAUGUAUUACCAUAAUGCUAACAGGUGAUUAAGCAAAAAUGAGUGGAUGGUUAGGAACACCAAGAUACACAAAGGAUUAGUAAGAGAGAUUAAAAAAAUUAUCUAAAAAGAUAUUUCGGUAUAAUAUAAAAAAGUAUAUUAAUUGGGGCUUUAACUUGGUAGAAAUGAUUAGGCAGUACUCCCCAUGAUUCCGAUCCAGAGUAUGCUCCUACCCACCGAUUAAAUAAAUAACUAUCAGGAACUAAAUAAUCCUUUCCUUUUUUUUAAUCCCCUUUUCUAUUUUUUUUUUUUCAGAAAGAAGAAUAGGAACGAAAAAAAAAAAAAGAAUCUAAUUACAAUAGAAAAAAAAAAUCAAUCCUUUUUGUUCUUUUUUUAUCGAUAUUCAUAGAGAUGGAAUUCGUGUCAUAAUUCGGAAUAUCUAACUUUUUCGUAAUCGAAAACGAUAGAAAAUAUCUAUUGGUAUUUUUACAAAGAAUAUUUUACUUUUUACAAAGAGUAUUUUAUUGAAGGAUUUAAGUUAUUACUCAAGAAAGAAAAAUUUAAAUUAUUAAAGGAUGAGAUCAAUUCAGAAGUAUUUUUUUAGUAUUAUAACAGAUAGAAUUUCAUUGCUCGAAUUUUGGAACGUCGAUAGAUUUUAUUUUGAUCCUAUCUAUUCUACAAAUAUAUCAAAAUAAAUAAUCUGAUCUGAUCCUUAAAUUUAUUUAUGGCCUUCGAGGAGCCGUAUGAGGUGAGAAUUUCAUGUACGGUUCUGUAAUAGCGAUGGGAACAGUGAUGUUAUCACCGACUAUGAUUAUCUAAUAGUUCAAGUACAGUUGAUAUAGUUGAGGCACAAUCAAAAUCUGGUUUUUGGGGGUGGAAUUUGUGGCGUCAACCUAUAGGAUUUAUCAUUUUUUUUAUUUCUUCUCUAGCAGAAUGUGAGAGAUUGCCUUUUGAUUUACCAGAAGCAGAAGAAGAAUUAGUAGCAGGUUAUCAAACCGAAUAUUCGGGCAUCAAAUUUGGUUUAUUUUAUAUUGCUUCCUAUCUAAACUUAUUAGUUUCUUCAUUAUUUGUAACAGUUCUUUACUUGGGCGGUUGGAAUAUCUCUAUUCCGUAUAUAUUCGUUCCUGAGCUUUUUGAAAUAAAAAAAAUAGGCGGAGUCUUUGGAACAACAAUUGGUAUCUUUAUUACAUUGGUUAAAACUUAUUUGUUCUUGUUCAUUCCUAUCACAACAAGAUGGACUUUACCUAGACUAAGAAUGGACCAACUUUUAAAUCUUGGAUGGAAAUUUCUUUUACCUAUUUCUCUCGGUAAUCUAUUAUUAACAACCUCUUUCCAACUUCUUUCACUAUAAAAGAAUAUUUUUCUAUAUUCCUAACUUGUCUUCAAACAAGAGAAAAAAACAAACAUAAAAUUAUUCAUAAAUAUUUACGAUAUGUUUCCCAUGGUAACUGGGUUCAUGAAUUAUGGGCAACAAACCAUACGAGCUGCAAGGUACAUUGGUCAAGGUUUUAUGAUUACCUUAUCUCAUGCAAAUCGUUUACCUGUAACUAUUCAAUAUCCUUAUGAAAAAUUAAUCACAUCGGAGCGUUUCCGCGGUCGAAUUCAUUUUGAAUUUGAUAAAUGCAUUGCUUGUGAAGUAUGUGUUCGUGUAUGUCCUAUAGAUCUACCUGUUGUUGAUUGGAAAUUGUAAACUGACAUUCGAAAGAAACGGUUGCUUAAUUACAGUAUUGAUUUCGGAAUCUGUAUAUUUUGUGGCAACUGUGUUGAGUAUUGUCCGACAAAUUGUUUAUCGAUGACUGAAGAAUAUGAGCUUUCUACUUAUGAUCGUCACGAAUUGAAUUAUAAUCAAAUUGCUUUAGGUCGUUUACCAAUGUCAGUAGUUGACGAUUAUACAAUUCGAACAAUUUUGAAUUCAACUCAAAAAAAAAUAGGUAAACCACUUUGAUUGAUUAAAAAGUACAAUUAUUAAACUCAAAUUCUGUUUUGAUCUAAAAGGAUGAAAGGAUGAAAUGGGUUUUCUUUUAUUUUUCUUGGUCAAUAACUACAAAAAUUACAAAUUCCAACUAUUGAUUUGAUUGAUUGAUGAUAAUUGCGUCGCGACUUAAUUUGGAUUGAAAAUCUAUUAAUAUAUCUUUAAUUCUAUCCAUAAUUAUUUCGAAAUUUAAAAUUUAGAAUGCCUUUUUGAGAAAGGAUGAGAUUAGUAGAAUAGCUGUACAUAUAGUAAUUAAUUUACACUCCUUAGGGUUUAAUUCAAUUAAGAACUUAUUAUAAAAAAGUUUUCCUGGUCGGGUCAAUAAGGUCAUGAAAAAACAAUUCAAUUUUUUUUUUUAUUUCUUAUUUUACGUGCAAUGGAUUUGCCUUGACUAAUUCAUGAUUUUCUUUUAGUCUUUCUAGGAUUAGGUCUUAUAUUAGGAGGUCUAGGAGUGGUAUUACUUACCAACCCAAUUUAUUCUGCCUUUUCGUUGGGAUUGGUUCUUGUUUGUAUAUCUUUAUUCUAUAUUUUAUCAAACUCUCAUUUUGUAGCUGCCGCACAGCUCCUUAUUUAUGUGGGAGCUAUAAAUGUUUUAAUUAUAUUUGCCGUGAUGUUCAUGAAUGGUUCAGAAUAUUACAAAGAUUUUAAUCUUUGUACUGUUGGAAGCGGGGUUACUUCUUUAGUUUGUACAAGUAUUUUUGUUUCACUAAUUACUAUUCUUCCAGAUACGUCAUGGUAUGGAAUUAUUUGGACUACAAGAACAAAUCAGAUUAUAGAACAAGAUUUGAUAAGUAAUGGUCAACAAAUUGGAAUUCAUUUAUCAACAGAUUUUUUUCUUCCAUUUGAAUUCAUUUCAAUAAUUCUUUUAGUUGCUUUGAUAGGUGCGAUUGCUGUGGCUCGUCAGUAAAAAAUCUUUAGAAUUAGUAAUCGCAAUCCAAAUUAAACUUUGGUCUAUGUUAUCACAUCUAUUUUCCUUCAAUUCUAUUUAAAGAUUUUUUAUGUAUAAAUUCUUUUAUUUGAUCUAUUAUCCAAAUAUUUCUUUGAUUUGUAUUUGGGAUAUUCUUAUUUUAGCCAAUCCAAUCUGUUGAUGUUGAAUUGUUGUUUAUAUUGAAAUAAAUCGAAAUUGAUAAGGAGUUGGUCAAUGAUGCUCGAACAUGUACUUGUUUUGAGUGCCUAUUUAUUUUCUAUUGGUAUCUAUGGAUUGAUCACGAGUCGAAAUAUGGUUAGAGCCCUUAUGUGCCUUGAACUUAUACUGAAUGCAGUUAAUCUAAAUUUCGUAACAUUUUCUGAUUUUUUUGAUAGCCGCCAAUUAAAAGGAAAUAUUUUUUCCAUUUUUGUUAUAGCUAUC
This is an RNA transcript of Hevea brasiliensis (rubber tree), 5404 nucleotides long. It is a transcript of the gene named NAD(P)H-quinone oxidoreductase subunit H, chloroplastic-like, with no coding region annotated. The record is from RefSeq and is a predicted model, not a curated record. The transcript has a single exon. Lineage: Eukaryota; Viridiplantae; Streptophyta; Magnoliopsida; Malpighiales; Euphorbiaceae.